AACGUAGGAGGCAAGCGUUAUCCGGAGUUACUGGGCGUAAAGCGCGCGUAGGCGGCUCGGUAAGUGGGUCGUGAAAGCGCCCGGCUAAACUGGGCGAGGACGAUCGAGACUGCCAGGCUAGAGGGUGGUAGAGGGACAUGGAAUUCCGGGUGUAGCGGUGAAAUGUGUAGAGAUCCGGAGGAACACCAGUGGCGAAGGCGGCAUUCUGGACCGAUAUUGACGCUGAGGAGCGAAAGCCAGGGGAGCAAACGGG
RNAcentral lists this ribosomal RNA (253 nucleotides) under uncultured bacterium. RNAcentral's name for it is "partial 16S ribosomal RNA". It matches the Rfam family "Bacterial small subunit ribosomal RNA", at positions 524 to 776 of the family's 1533-position model. The record is from RNAcentral.